Molecule: long non-coding RNA, 371 nt
Filed under: Homo sapiens (human)
Lineage: Eukaryota; Metazoa; Chordata; Mammalia; Primates; Hominidae
Description: HSALNT0336823
Source: RNAcentral
CAUUGGCUUGGUGCUUGAGAGUCACAUCAGAACAUAAGUGGGGAUGGCCUUGAAAUGGCCUGUCUGCAUUUGAAAGCCACAUUUCAGGCUAGCUGUCUAACACUCUUGGAAAUUCGCUAGCCCUGGAAGGUGCAGUUACUUCCCAGGCAAAGCAAAAUGGCAGAGUAGAUCUCUCCAGCCAUCUUACUCCCACAGGAACAUCAAUUUGAACCACUAUCCACAAGAACCUUCACAAGAGGUUUUGACUUAACCUCAGAAGGCCUGUGCUCCAACGAAAGUUAAAGAGGAAUUCACCCAUGCUUUCUCCAAGCCAUCAAACUCCAAACCAUCAUGCAACCAAAGCCUUUGUCUAUGGCUCCUUUUGCCAGAAA